Molecule: long non-coding RNA, 194 nt
Filed under: Cricetulus griseus (Chinese hamster)
Lineage: Eukaryota; Metazoa; Chordata; Mammalia; Rodentia; Cricetidae
Description: lncRNA (ENSCGRG00000026185.1)
Source: RNAcentral
GGACCAGCAGACGCUUGCCCUCUGUCAGUACCCGAAGCAGGAACAGGCAGGACUUGUGGACUUUUGGAUUCACUUUGUUUCCUUCAUUUUCUGAUUAAUUGCUUGGGAAGAAAGAUGGAUGACAAAGCAAUGCCAGCAUCCAGAGCACACAGCCCGAGGCUUUGAAGUCACUGGAAACUGACAAUUACUUUGAG